CCGUCCUUCCGGGGAUAGCCUUUCGAAAGAAAGAUUAAUACCCGAUAGCAUAAUGAUUCCGCAUGGUUUCAUUAUUAAAGGAUUCCGGUAAAGGAUGGGGAUGCGUUCCAUUAGGUUGUUGGUGAGGUAACGGCUCACCAAGCCUUCGAUGGAUAGGGGUUCUGAGAGGAAGGUCCCCCACAUUGGAGCUGAGACACGGUCCAA
This 204-nucleotide ribosomal RNA is filed under the name uncultured bacterium. RNAcentral's name for it is "partial 16S ribosomal RNA". It matches the Rfam family "Bacterial small subunit ribosomal RNA", at positions 126 to 334 of the family's 1533-position model. The record is from RNAcentral.